GCCUGGGUGGCUCAGUAGGUUGAGCAUCUGACUUUGGCUCAGGUCAUGAUCUCACAGUUUGUGAGUUCAAGCCCCAUGUCAGGCU
RNAcentral lists this transfer RNA (85 nucleotides) under Felis catus (domestic cat). It matches the Rfam family "tRNA". From Rfam's summary of the family: Transfer RNA (tRNA) molecules are approximately 80 nucleotides in length. Their secondary structure includes four short double-helical elements and three loops (D, anti-codon, and T loops). Further hydrogen bonds mediate the characteristic L-shaped molecular structure. tRNAs have two regions of fundamental functional importance: the anti-codon, which is responsible for specific mRNA codon recognition, and the 3' end, to which the tRNAs corresponding amino acid is attached (by aminoacyl-tRNA synthetases). tRNAs cope with the degeneracy of the genetic code in two manners: having more than one tRNA (with a specific anti-codon) for a particular amino acid; and 'wobble' base-pairing, i.e. permitting non-standard base-pairing at the 3rd anti-codon position. Lineage: Eukaryota; Metazoa; Chordata; Mammalia; Carnivora; Felidae. RNAcentral also lists the same sequence under 5 other names. The record is from Rfam by way of RNAcentral.